RNAcentral lists this transfer RNA (73 nucleotides) under Pediococcus acidilactici. RNAcentral's name for it is "tRNA-Asn". It matches the Rfam family "tRNA". Rfam says of the family: Transfer RNA (tRNA) molecules are approximately 80 nucleotides in length. Their secondary structure includes four short double-helical elements and three loops (D, anti-codon, and T loops). Further hydrogen bonds mediate the characteristic L-shaped molecular structure. tRNAs have two regions of fundamental functional importance: the anti-codon, which is responsible for specific mRNA codon recognition, and the 3' end, to which the tRNAs corresponding amino acid is attached (by aminoacyl-tRNA synthetases). tRNAs cope with the degeneracy of the genetic code in two manners: having more than one tRNA (with a specific anti-codon) for a particular amino acid; and 'wobble' base-pairing, i.e. permitting non-standard base-pairing at the 3rd anti-codon position. Lineage: Bacteria; Bacillati; Bacillota; Bacilli; Lactobacillales; Lactobacillaceae. RNAcentral also lists the same sequence under 1 other name. The record is from RNAcentral.
GUAGGUGUAGCUCAGUUGGUAGAGCACCUGACUGUUAAUCAAGAAGUCGCAGGUUCGAAUCCUGCCAUCUGCG